This 257-nucleotide ribosomal RNA is filed under the name uncultured bacterium. RNAcentral describes it as "partial 16S ribosomal RNA". It matches the Rfam family "Bacterial small subunit ribosomal RNA", at positions 524 to 777 of the family's 1533-position model. The record is from RNAcentral.
UACGGAGGGUGCAAGCGUUGUUCGGAUUUAUUGGGCGUAAAGCGCGUGUAGGCGGUCUCUUAAGUCUGAUGUGAAAGCCCUGGGCUCAACCCAGGAAGUGCUAUUGGAUUACUGGGGGACUUGAAUACGGGAGAGGGUAGUGGAAUUCCUAGUGUAGGAGUGAAAUCCGUAGAUAUUAGGAGGAACACCGGUGGCGAAGGCGGCUACCUGGACCGACACUGACGCUGAGGAGCGAAAGCCAGGGGAGCGAAACGGGA